UUAUAAAAAAAAAUUAAUUGAUAAGAAAUUAAAUGAGAUCAUUAAAUUUAAAUAAUUUGGCGGUAUUUUAAAUAGUUAGAGGAAUUUGUUAGUUAAAUGAUGCUCCACGAAUGGAAUGUCCUAAUGUAGUUUUUAUGUAUUGUUGUAUUAAAAUUAUUUUAUAAGAAAUAUAGUUAAUAUAUUAUAUUUAAUUUGAAUUCAAAUCAAAAUGUAGAAUUAUUAGGAUUAAAUGAAUUACAGUUUAAUGUAAUAUUGAAAUUAUUUUUUAAAUUAAAAUAAUGAAAGCGGAUUUAAAAGUAAAUUUAAAUAAAUAUUUAGAUUGAAAUUUUAAUUAAAAUAUG
Molecule: ribosomal RNA, 341 nt
Filed under: Pheidole cockerelli
Lineage: Eukaryota; Metazoa; Arthropoda; Insecta; Hymenoptera; Formicidae
Description: partial 12S ribosomal RNA
Source: RNAcentral